This 1391-nucleotide ribosomal RNA is filed under the name uncultured Actinomycetes bacterium. Its description in RNAcentral is "bacterial SSU rRNA". It matches the Rfam family "Bacterial small subunit ribosomal RNA". The record is from RNAcentral. Lineage: Bacteria; Bacillati; Actinomycetota; Actinomycetes.
UUAGAGUUUGAUGCCUGGCUCAGGACGAACGCUGGCGGUGCGCCUUAUGCAUGCAAGUUGAGCGAAGCUUUUUGGUAGUUUACUACUAGAAAUGACUGAGCGGCGAACGGGUGAGUAACGCGUGAGCAAUCUACCUUAGUUACUGGGAUAGCCCGAGGAAACUCGGAUUAAUACCAGAUAUUCUUAUUUUUUCACAUGAAGUUUUAAGGAAAGGUCAGCCGAACUAAGAUGAGCUCGCGUUCUAUCAGCUAGUUGGUGGGGUAAAAGCCUACCAAGGCAACGACGGAUAGCUGGUCUGAGAGGACGAUCAGCCACACUGGGACUGAGACACGGCCCAGACUCCUACGGGAGGCUGCAGCAGGGAAUAUUGUGCAAUGAGCGAAAGCUUGACACAGCGACACCGCGUGUGGGAUGACGGUUCUAGGAUUGUAAACCACUUUCAGGAGGGAAGAAAAUGACGGUACCUCCACAAGAAGACCCGGCCAACUAUGUGCCAGCAGCCGCGGUAAUACAUAGGGGUCAAGCGUUGUCCGGAUUUAUUGGGCGUAAAGAGCUCGUAGGCGGUUCAACAAGUCGGUCGUAAAAGUUUAGGGCUCAACCCUAAAAUGUCGAUCGAUACUGUUGUGACUAGGAUACGGUAGAGGUGAAUGGAAUUCCGAGUGUAGCGGUGAAAUGCGUAGAUAUUCGGAGGAACACCAAUUGCGAAGGCAGUUCACUGGACCGUGAUCGACGCUGAGGAGCGAAAGCUAGGGGAGCAAACAGGAUUAGAUACCCUGGUAGUCCUAGCUGUAAACGAUGGAUACUAGAUGUAGGAACUGGAUUGACGGUUUCUGUAUCGUAGCUAACGCGUUAAGUAUCCCGCCUGGGGAGUACGGUCGCAAGACUAAAACUCAAAGGAAUUGACGGGACCCCGCACAAGCGGCGGAGCAUGCGGCUUAAUUCGAUGAUACCCGUAGAACCUUACCUGGACUUGACAUAUAGGGAAAAACUGGAGAAAUCCAGUGUGCGUAAGCGCCCUUUACAGGUGGUGCAUGGCUGUCGUCAGCUCGUGUCGUGAGAUGUUGGGUUAAGUCCCGCAACGAGCGCAACCCCUGUCCUAUGUUGCCAGCAAGUAAUGUUGGGGACUCAUAGGAGACUGCCGGUGAUAAACCGGAGGAAGGUGGGGAUGACGUCAAGUCAUCAUGCCCCUUAUGUCCAGGGCUGCACGCAUGCUACAAUGGCAAGUACAACGAGUCGCAAUACCGCGAGGUGGAGCAAAUCUCUUAAAGCUUGUCUCAGUUCGGAUAGGAGUCUGCAACUCGACUCCUUGAAGUUGGAGUCGCUAGUAAUCGCAAAUCAGCAAAGUUGCGGUGAAUACGUUCUCGGGGUUUGUACACACCGCCCGUCAAGGG